UAGUGGCGGACGGGUGAGUAACGCGUAGGUAUCUGUCCUGGGGUGGGGGAUAACAGCGGGAAACUGCUGCUAAUACCGCAUGACACCUGAGGGUCAAAGGCGCGAGUCGCCUUGGGAGGAGCCUGCGUCCGAUUAGCUAGUUGGUGGGGUAACUGCCUACCAAGGCGACGAUCGGUAGCUGGUCUGAGAGGAUGAUCAGCCACAUUGGGACUGAGACACGGCCCAAACUCCUACGGGAGGCAGCAGUGGGGAAUAUUGGACAAUGGGCGCAAGCCUGAUCCAGCAAUGCCGCGUGGAUGAAGAAGGUCUUCGGAUUGUAAAGUCCUUUCGACGGGGACGAUGAUGACGGUACCCGUAGAAGAAGCCCCGGCUAACUUCGUGCCAGCAGCCGCGGUAAUACGAAGGGGGCUAGCGUUACUCGGAAUGACUGGGCGUAAAGGGCGCGUAGGCGGUUUGCUUAGUUAGGCGUGAAAUUCCUGGGCUCAACCUGGGGGCUGCGCUUAAUACAGGCAGGCUAGAGUGUGAAAGAGGGUCGUGGAAUUUCCAGUGUAGAGGUGAAAUUCGUAGAU
This 569-nucleotide ribosomal RNA is filed under the name uncultured soil bacterium. RNAcentral describes it as "bacterial SSU rRNA". It matches the Rfam family "Bacterial small subunit ribosomal RNA", at positions 93 to 695 of the family's 1533-position model. The record is from RNAcentral.